RNAcentral lists this ribosomal RNA (465 nucleotides) under uncultured Klebsiella sp. RNAcentral describes it as "bacterial SSU rRNA". It matches the Rfam family "Bacterial small subunit ribosomal RNA", at positions 338 to 795 of the family's 1533-position model. Lineage: Bacteria; Pseudomonadati; Pseudomonadota; Gammaproteobacteria; Enterobacterales; Enterobacteriaceae. The record is from RNAcentral.
CCUACGGGUGGCUGCAGUGGGGAAUAUUGCACAAUGGGCGCAAGCCUGAUGCAGCCAUGCCGCGUGUGUGAAGAAGGCCUUCGGGUUGUAAAGCACUUUCAGCGGGGAGGAAGGCGGUGAGGUUAAUAACCUCAUCGAUUGACGUUACCCGCAGAAGAAGCACCGGCUAACUCCGUGCCAGCAGCCGCGGUAAUACGGAGGGUGCAAGCGUUAAUCGGAAUUACUGGGCGUAAAGCGCACGCAGGCGGUCUGUCAAGUCGGAUGUGAAAUCCCCGGGCUCAGCCUGGGGACUGCAUUCGAAACUGGCAGGCUAGAGUCUUGUAGAGGGGGGUAGAAUUCCAGGUGUAGCGGUGAAAUGCGUAGAGAUCUGGAGGAAUACCGGUGGCGAAGGCGGCCCCCUGGACAAAGACUGACGCUCAGGUGCGAAAGCGUGGGGAGCAAACAGGAUUAGAUACCCGUGUAGUC